Molecule: microRNA precursor, 102 nt
Filed under: Marmota monax (woodchuck)
Lineage: Eukaryota; Metazoa; Chordata; Mammalia; Rodentia; Sciuridae
Source: RNAcentral
AGUUGGAUAGUUGGGUCAUAUGGUGGUUCCAUUCCAAGUUUUUUGAGAAAUCUCCAUACUGCUUUCCAGAGUGGUUGCCCUAUUUGCAGUCCCACCAACCAU